RNAcentral lists this ribosomal RNA (813 nucleotides) under uncultured bacterium. RNAcentral describes it as "bacterial SSU rRNA". It matches the Rfam family "Bacterial small subunit ribosomal RNA", at positions 8 to 796 of the family's 1533-position model. The record is from RNAcentral.
AGAGUUUGAUCAUGGCUCAGAACGAACGCUGGCGGUGUGGAUAAGGCAUGCAAGUCGGACGGCCGAGCUAGAAUUAACGGCACGGCAGUGGCGAAAGGAUGCGUAACACGUGAGUAAUCUACCUUUGAGUUGGGGAUAACUCCGCGAAAGCGGGGCUAAUACCGAAUACGACCCCGCCCUCUAUCGAGGGCGGAGUGAAAGGUGGGGAAUCGAAAGAUCCUAUCACUCUUAGAUGAGCUCACGGCCUAUCAGGUAGUUGGUGAGGUAACGGCUCACCAAGCCAAUGACGGGUAGCUGGUUUGAGAGGAUGGUCAGCCAUACUGGAACUGAGACACGGUCCAGACUCCUACGGGAGGCAGCAGCCGAGAAUCUUUCGCAAUGGGCGAAAGCCUGACGGAGCGACACCGCGUGUAGGAUGAAAGCCUUCGGGUUGUAAACUACUGUCACUUGGGAAGAGAUUUGUUGCAACAAAUAAUUGCAGCAAUUGACUGUACCAAGAGAGGAAGCCACGGCUAACUCUGUGCCAGCAGCCGCGGUAAUACAGAGGUGGCGAGCGUUGUUCGGAUUGAUUGGGUGUAAAGGGUGCGUAGGCGGCUUGGUAAGUUGGAUGUGAAAUCCUAUAGCUCAACUAUAGAAUUGCAUUCAAAACUGCUAAGCUAGAGUGCGAGAGAGGUGAAGGGAAUUCCCGGUGUAAGGGUGAAAUCUGUAGAGAUCGGGAGGAACACCAGAAGCGAAGGCGCUUCACUGGCUCGUAACUGACGCUGAGUGCACGAAAGCGUGGGGANNAAACGGGAUUAGAUACCCUAGUAGUCC